GAUCAUGGCUCAGGACGAACGCUGGCGGCGCGCCUAACACAUGCAAGUCGAACGGAGCUGAGAGGAGCUUGCUUUUCUUAGCUUAGUGGCGAACGGGUGAGUAACGCGUGAGUAACCUGCCCUGGAGUGGGAGACAACAGUUGGAAACGACUGCUAAUACCGCAUAAGCCCACGAUCCGGCAUCGGAUUGAGGGAAAAGGAUUUAUUCGCUUCAGGAUGGACUCGCGUCCAAUUAG
This 236-nucleotide ribosomal RNA is filed under the name uncultured bacterium. RNAcentral's name for it is "partial 16S ribosomal RNA". It matches the Rfam family "Bacterial small subunit ribosomal RNA", at positions 15 to 244 of the family's 1533-position model. The record is from RNAcentral.